Brienomyrus brachyistius is the source of this 506-nucleotide long non-coding RNA. RefSeq lists it as uncharacterized. NCBI's taxonomy places the organism in Eukaryota, Metazoa, Chordata, Actinopteri, Osteoglossiformes, Mormyridae. The transcript is spliced from 3 exons. The record is from RefSeq and is a predicted model, not a curated record.
ACUUCAAACCCUGCGGGCUAGGAUCAAAAACAUUAACAUACAAAAACGAAAAACAGCUUCAUGGAAAGUAGGGUACAAAUAGCAGCAUUAUUCCAACAUUUAAACGGCAUCCUGGAAUAUUAUAUGCACACGCUUGAUUACGAGAAAAGGGUAGGAAUGCUGACGGAGGGCAGUUGGAGAGAGGCCGCAGUCGGCACCGGGUUCCAGUGUUCAGGCGCGUGGGAGCAGAGGGGCGGCCCGGCCCGGCCCGUGCCCACCAGAGGGGGCGCUCCCUGGCAGUGUGUCUCGCCGGACCUCCGGCAAAUUCGCUCGCCCUCCCUAGCCUGAGGAGUCUCCACCUGUUGGACAAGUGCGGGGGUGGUGCUGUUAGUCAGUCACCCAGUGAAGUGUCAUUGCUCGGCGCUGCUUUUGAACCCUUAGCUCCUUCCUGUCGUAGUUGAGCUUCUUCAAGCCCAUGAUUCCGUACUGCAGGCUCGUCCUGUUGGAAUGAGGAACGAAGACCCCAA